AACGAACGCUGGCGGCAUGCCUAACACAUGCAAGUCGAACGAGACCUUCGGGUCUAGUGGCGCACGGGUGCGUAACGCGUGGGAACCUGCCCUUAGGUUCGGAAUAACUCCCCGAAAGGGGUGCUAAUACCGGAUAAUGUCUUCGGACCAAAGAUUUAUCGCCUUUGGAUGGGCCCGCGUUGGAUUAGCUAGUUGGUAGGGUAAAAGCCUACCAAGGCGACGAUCCAUAGCUGGUCUGAGAGGAUGAUCAGCCACACUGGGACUGAGACACGGCCCAGACUCCUACGGGAGGCAGCAGUGGGGAAUAGUGGACAAUGGGCGAAAGCCUGAUCCAGCAAUGCCGCGUGAGUGAUGAAGGCCUUAGGGUUGUAAAGCUCUUUUAACCGGGAUGAUAAUGACAGUACCGGGAGAAUAAGCUCCGGCUAACUACGUG
Molecule: ribosomal RNA, 433 nt
Filed under: uncultured bacterium
Lineage: Bacteria
Description: partial 16S ribosomal RNA
Rfam family: Bacterial small subunit ribosomal RNA
Source: RNAcentral